UGAACUUGCCCGGCUGUUCUCUUUGAAAU
RNAcentral lists this non-coding RNA (29 nucleotides) under Rattus norvegicus (Norway rat). The record is from RNAcentral. Lineage: Eukaryota; Metazoa; Chordata; Mammalia; Rodentia; Muridae.